AAAAAAUUAAAGUAAUUACUAAAAUAGUAAAUAAUUAUUUAUUGAAACUUAAAUAAUUUGGCGGUAUUUUAGUUCAUUUAGAGGAAUCUGUCUAGUAAUUGAUAUUCCACGAAUAAUCAUAUUUAAUUUAAAAUUUUAUAUAUCGUUGUUAAAAAAAUAUUUUUAAAUAAAAAUAAUAUUUUAAAAUUUUAAUUAGAAAUUAAUUCAGAUCAAGAUGUAGAUUAUAAUUAAAUUUAAGAUGGAUUACAAUAUAAUUAUAUAAACGAAUAAUAAUUUUGAAAUAUUUAUUUGAAGGUGGAUUUAAAUGUAAUUUUAAAUAAUUUUUUAAAAUGAUUUAUAAUUAAAAUAUGUACAUAUUGCCCGUCACUUUCAUUUAAAAAUUGAAAUAAGUCGUAACAAAGUAGGGGUACUGGAAAGUGUUCCUAGAAAGA
Molecule: ribosomal RNA, 431 nt
Filed under: Pontia edusa
Lineage: Eukaryota; Metazoa; Arthropoda; Insecta; Lepidoptera; Pieridae
Description: partial 12S ribosomal RNA
Source: RNAcentral